CCCAGUUCGGAUUGUAGUCUGCAACCCGACUACAUGAAGCUGGAAUCGCUAGUAAUCGCGAAUCAGAAUGUCGCGGUGAAUACGUUCCCGGGUCUUGUACACACCGCCCGUCACACCAUGGGAGUCAGUAACGCCCGAAGCCGGUGACCCAACCAAUUCAGGAGGGAGCCGUCGAAGGUGGGACCGAUAACUGGGGUGAAGUCGUAACAAGGUAAC
RNAcentral lists this ribosomal RNA (216 nucleotides) under uncultured bacterium. RNAcentral's name for it is "partial 16S ribosomal RNA". It matches the Rfam family "Bacterial small subunit ribosomal RNA", at positions 1287 to 1500 of the family's 1533-position model. The record is from RNAcentral.